GGCCUUUUCUACCAUCCUGGCCUUUUCUAUCAUCUUAUCCAACACAACGCACGGGGUGAAACGCAACACACGAACCCUAAACCACGUUCGCGACCCUGCUCUGGCGCGGCGGAGCGACCGCAUACUCCAAUCCAUCCACUCCUGAUUCGGUUGCUUCCAAAAACAUGUCCCGAUUAGAGGCACGGCGAGAGUGACAGCAUCGAAUCCAUCCACUCCGGAUCUGAGGCGCAGAGAGGAUCCAGUCCAUCCAGUCUGUCCUGAUUCGAGGUGCGGCGGACCGACUGCAUCGAAUCCAUCCAGCCCGCAUUCGAGGCGCGGAGAGGAGCCAAUUCAUCGAGUCCGUGAAUCGCCGUCCGGCUGUUCGUCUCUUGAAACUGCUACCGUGUGUUUGAAGGAAGUAAUCACUCUUCAGUUUCUCUCCAAACAUUCAUGGCGGAUGAUGUGCGCCCCUCGCGGUCAUUAAUGGAUGCCUGGCUCUUUGUUUCUCAUUCUUCCGCUGUGUAUAUAUACUUCCUUUACGCUCACUCUUCUAACCACGGCGACAGAACAUCCAUCAGCAUGGUGCUCUUCUAGGUGUUGUUCAAACUGGGAGAUGGUCGAUUGAUUCGGCCAGAUAUUGGAAACUGGUUCUCGCUUUUUCUUCCUGAAUUUCUUCAGGUGAUAGUUCUAAUGGCUUCUGUACAGGUUAAGUGGAACAGUGUAGUUAUAUGCGCAAAAGAAUGUAGCCAUACUGUUAUAGAGGGGGCGGGUGAAGCCUCAAUAUCUUCUUCUAUUCUGAAGUGAGCAAAGCCCAAUAAUCUUACUGAUAUUUGAAAGUAUGUGUGUGGAUUUUCAAGACACGGUGCAGGCUUUGCAUAAUUCCAAGUAUAAGAAUUUUUGGUUUUGUUCGUUUCCAUUUGUAAGAUGUUGAUGUAUGGGAAAUGUAUUAUUUUCGGGCCAGAUACACUUGGUUCAGUCUGGGGGCAGUGAUGUCAGCAAAUCAUUGGAAGAGUUCAGGGAGGGGCUAUUUUAGUUAUGACCUGAGGCACAACGAGCAGGAGGAGUUGGCCAACUGGAGUGCUAGAUUCAGGGCAAGUUUGCCUAAGCACUUGAUAAGGCCAUAAGAAGAUGCAAUACAAUGCCACGUAAAAUUCAUCGAGGAGCCGACGGAAAACUACGAGUACUGUGUGGUCCAAAAUUAAGGGAUAAAAAUAAAUGUACAGGUGGGAGAGCAGUUUACUAUAGCGUCGUCCAAGCAAAAAAGAACCGAGAACCAGAACCGGAGGAAAUAACCCCCACGUUCAGAAUUCCACCGCAAGGAAUCAAGAUUGGGUCAUUUCAGUUCCCAUUGAAUAAAGAAAAGGAAGGCACGUUACAUGCUAUAGAUAAAUGCAUGCAUGUGUAAUUAAAAAUGAUUUUCUAUUAGGAAGUUUCCUAGUGUAGUUAGGUUCCUUCGGUUAGUUAGGAUUCCUAUUUACUUUCCUAGUCCUAGUCAUGCAUGAUUUGGUUUCCUGAGAUAUUCACGUUUGUUAUUUGGCUUGCUGGAAGGGUCACGUUUGUUAUUUGGCUUGCUGGAAGGGACGUGCAUUGGCCAUAUAACGGCCAGGCUACGGCCAUUGUAUCAGAUCAGUUUUGAGUUUAUUCGUGAGUUAUGAACAACACAGUAAAACGUCCAUGUCCAGGUUUGGG
Molecule: ribosomal RNA, 1668 nt
Filed under: Triticum aestivum (bread wheat)
Lineage: Eukaryota; Viridiplantae; Streptophyta; Magnoliopsida; Poales; Poaceae
Description: partial small subunit ribosomal RNA
Source: RNAcentral